UACGUAGGGUGCGAGCGUUGUCCGGAAUUACUGGGCGUAAAGAGCUCGUAGGCGGCUUGUCGCGUUGUUCGUGAAAAUUUACCGCUCAACGGUGAACUUGCGGGCGAUACGGGCAGGCUAGAGUACUGCAGGGGAGACUGGAAUUCCUGGUGUAGCGGUGAAAUGCGCAGAUAUCAGGAGGAACACCGGUGGCGAAGGCGGGUCUCUGGGCAGUAACUGACGCUGAGGAGCGAAAGCGUGGGGAGCGAACAGGAUUAGAUACCCUGGUAGUCCACGCCGUAAACGGUGGGCGCUAGGUGUGGGUUUCCUUCCACGGGAUCCGUGCCGUAGCUAACGCAUUAAGCGCCCCGCCUGGGGAGUACGGCCGCAAGGCUAAA
This 377-nucleotide ribosomal RNA is filed under the name uncultured bacterium. RNAcentral describes it as "bacterial SSU rRNA". It matches the Rfam family "Bacterial small subunit ribosomal RNA", at positions 524 to 898 of the family's 1533-position model. The record is from RNAcentral.